RNAcentral lists this ribosomal RNA (319 nucleotides) under uncultured eukaryote. RNAcentral's name for it is "partial 18S ribosomal RNA". It matches the Rfam family "Eukaryotic small subunit ribosomal RNA", at positions 1470 to 1796 of the family's 1831-position model. The record is from RNAcentral.
CCCUUAGAUGUUCUGGGCAGCACGCGCGCUACAAUGGUCUUCGCAAACGGAGGCAUUCUCGAAGGAGAAUGCCAAUCUUGGAAUCUAUGCCUUGGUCGGGACAGUUGCUUGCAAUUUUUCGACUCGAACCAGGAAUUCCUUGUAAUCGUGAUUCAUCACAUCACGAUGAAUACGUCCCUGCCCUUUGUACACACCGCCCGUCGCUCCUACCGAUCGAAGAGUUAGGUGAAUUGUUUUGAUCGAUAAGAUUUGACUAUGGUCAACUCUCGUUGUGAAAUUCUGUGAAUCUGACUGUUUAGAGGAAGGAAAAGUCGUAACA